CUCUCGGCGCUCUUCGGCUCGGAGCCUGGCGGCUCAGCGCGCUCCCGGCUGCACGUGCUGCCCCCGCCGCCGCCCACGCCAGACAAAGCGGGGCCCUCCCGGGCGUGUUUCCUAGGCGCCCCCUUCCCUCGAUGAACCCUUUGAUUUCUUCCUUCUUCUCUCUCACUUCGUUCCAGCCCCCUCAACUGCCUCCUGGAGCGCCUUUUUUGUGUGCUCGCCAUCUCACGUUUGGCCCUCUCUCCAAAGCUCUGCCUUCACGAACGCCUCCAUUUGACCUUCCCCCUCCGCCACUCUCUGGUCUCCUUUGGUAGCUUUAUCAUUACAUUUGAUGGAAGGGCGACUCUCCCCUCUCCUAUUUUCAGCUCCACAUUACCUUUUGUAUUGUCCUCUCCCCUUCCUAUUGGCAUCUUCUUUCUGUCCUUGCCCUUUUCAAGACUCUUCCAGAAACUCUCUUGAUGUCUCUGCCUCUUUUCACGGUUUCCUUUCCACUUUUUCUUUUCUCUCUGGGCUGUGGGACAGCAGAAGGGAGAUUGCAAAUGGCUACCUAGAUUGAGUGCCCCUUUUACCUCACUGACGCCAUCCUUUUUUCUGUCACCUUGAGGUCACAUUAUUUGGGCACCUUGAUGAGGCUUUGGGGAUUCUACUGCCGUUGCUGCCAUUAGCAGUCUCUUUGCUUGGAAGCUUAAAUGAAGGAAAUUUCUGGGAACUGGUCAAAGACUCCUGAAAUGCACCUUGAGGACUAAACAUCUCUCUCCCUCCAUCUCUGCUUGGUUACUCUGGUUUGUUUCGAACACCGGCUGCUUCUUCCCACUUCUUGACUCCCUGCACCCCUACCCGCCCCCCCAGCAAUCACAUUGUUCAUCCCUUUGGCACCAGCCCUAGAGAGGAAAGGGUAGGUCCUCCUCUCCAGGAAGGAAGGUGGGGCAGAGUAGCUCCCGCAGGAAGGGAAGGAAAAAGGAGGGAAGGAAGGAAGUGGCCAACAGAAGGUGGAAUCCGGUGGGAGGACUUUUCAUUGUUUGAACGUCUUUCCUUUUUAGCUCUGCAAAGUCAAGCCCAAGGCCAUCUCACCAAGGUUCUGCUGCCAUCUCCCAGAACCCCAGCUAGGACUCCCUUGCCAGAGGCUGGAGGGGGCUGAGGUUUUGGUGGACAUAUUUAAGUGAAGUGGGCAGAGUUUCAUGUAUGCUGCAAAUUGUAAGCACUUACAUUUUUAAUGUAUCCAUCUUCUGUUUCUUUUCUGUCCAACAAAGUCAGCUUUUAUCUUCCCUUUUCUCCAGGGGGAAAAAAAAAAAGAAAAACUCCAGGGUAGAAUUAUGCCUCAGGUAAGGAAAAUGUAUCUACCAUUUCCUGAGGACCUUCUACCUGUGAAUCUGCUCUUAUGUUCUGUAAUACUUUACAUUUGCAUAGGGCUUUUUUCCCUGAGUUUUAAAGGGAAAGGCUGAGUUUUAAAGUUAGUGGGUAAAAGGAACCAAGUAGGGUUGCGAUAAGGGUUGAGAUGAAGUAGUGGAAAUGGGAGCUCUUUAAAACUAAAUACUCAUGAAUACUGCUCUCCAAUAUUUCCCCACCUUUUUUGUAGCCUAGGCUUAGGGCCAAAUGCAAGCCCCAAGAACACAGGCAAGGAAGUGCUUUUGUCCUUUCUAGGCAUGUGAUCCAGUACCAAAGAUGCUUAGUUAUGAACGAAGAGAAGUUUGUGGUAUGACUAUUCUUUUGCAUAGUGUAUCUUUGCAUCUCCAUUCACUUAAUACCCGAAUACCUAGAAAACUGCCAGCCAGGCUUUGGUUCAUUGUCAGUGUCUUGUUCCUUGAAAGCCCUAGAAGGACAAAAAAAUUAGCUAUGCUUUGGAAGACUUUGUCUGAAACCUACACUAGGUUUCAGACAAGGUCAUCCAACCUUCUGGAUUAGUUAACUGUGUCCUGAACACUGAGCAGAGGCCAGAGGGAGUGGGGUUUUGUUUUUCUCAUCCUGGGGAAGCUCAUCCUUGUGCUCUGCAAGUGUGUGCUCUGGGGAGAGAGUGUUAUCAACACUUCCAUGGUGUGGGAUGGGGUGGGGGUCAGGAAGGGGGCCAACAACUUUAGAAGGCUUUCUUUUGUUUUCUGUUUUAAGUUGCUGUCUUGGUGAUGGGAAGAUAUGAAAGGGUGGACACCUGGCUGUUGGAGUUGGGACAAGUAUGAGCAGAGCUGUGGGGCUUGGCUUCCUUUCCUACUGGCUCAUUUCCCCGGGGAGGGGAAGAUAGUGGUCUAGAGGGAAUUUGCUAUCCCUUUCAAUCAGCAAACGGACCUGCAAGCCAGUUUGCCUGGGCACUUAGGGCACUGAGUUUGGGGCACCUCAGGGAGCUUAUACUCUCCCAGAAAACACAAGCCCUGCAAACAGUUCUCUGGUCAUUGUGUGGAGCAGGUGUGGGAUGCAGAGGUAGGGCAGAUUCCCCGUAAAUAGAAGACAGGAUUUUCUCAUAAACAGAGGUCUCAACUAUGAGGGGGAGCUGGGCUUCCUUAGGCAUUCCUAGUUAUGGAGAUGGUCGAGGAGCCUGGGCUGGAAGUUAGCCUGUCAGAAAUUCUGCAGCGUUGUGUUUCUGUGCUGGGUAGGGGUGAACUGAUGGCCCACAUGGUCCCGUCUGACUUCAAGAUUCUGCAAUUUUGAAAUAUACUAAUGAUCCUAGGCAGCAUGUGAUGAAUAGCUUGAGCUUUACUAGGGAUUCCAUUCAUCAAAUAUUUAUUGAGUGUGUACUUUGUACUGCAGCUCUGCUAGACGCUGUAGGAGAUUCAGAGGUAUGAACAAUAGGGUUUAAGAUCUUUGCAGAGGCCGCUAACACUUGGAAUACAGUGAGGCAGGAAGGGGGUUCCAGGCCAGAAUGAGUGGUCCUGCCCCACAUUACCACCCCAUCAAAACCAGACAGUCAGCAUUCUCUUAACACCAGUGCCCUGUGAUUUGUUUCUUCCUGAGAUGCUGGUUUCAAAGAUUUCCAGGGACUUUGAUCUGCAGGAUGGGGGCAGAAGAGAGAAACCGUGUUAAUCCAGAGAGAAAGGCAGAGCGUGUGGGGUUGUGUCUCUAAGGGUGAACGCUGAGUGAGGAUAGAGUCCCUCCUGUCAGGAUGUGCCAGGAUGGGGCAGGCAUGAGAACCGGGAAGAAAAUGAGGUGGAAAUGAAUGGGCCCCUGUAGGAGGAGGUAAUGAGGUGAAUCAGAAAAAUCUGUCACUGAGAUCCAGGAAGCGACUGGGAGGUUUACUCUCUCUUGGUCCUUUUAAAGAUGAGAUGUGUCAAUUUGAGAACCUGGACUCAUGAAGACAGAUCUACCAGGCGCCAGGGAUGGAGCGGGUGGGAGCUUGCUGUAGCUGCUGUGCAAAAUGGUAAGAUCCCCAUACUUGGGCAGCCUGGAAUUGGCCCUGGGGCCCAUCUCUCGUUUACCAUCUUUGGCAAAAGGAGUCCUGCUGAACCCCAAGAACUCCUUCCCUGGCCAGUGCUCAGUGCCCCCAUCCCCAUCAGCAGCCCCCUGGGAAGAGUCCAGGUAUCUGUAGGGACUCUCAGGACUUGUAAGCCAGAGAGAGCUGUGGGGAGGGGGUGGAGGUGACCACUGCAGAAUGGUGAAUGUCUGGGGAAAUGAAUGUGUCCCUUUCAAGGAUUCUGAUUGGCUCAGUUGUUCAGGGGAGCAACUCAGGAAUCAGUUUCAUUAGACUCCUUAGCAUCUUCAGGGAUGCAAACCUCUGCUUUGUUGGUUUAUGUCUGUGUGUGUCCUGGAAUAACCUCCCUCUACCACAGCUGUGGACACUCUCAGAAUCCUAUGCCCAGAAUGUCCUUCAGGGGAUCAUUUCUUGUAGCUUGGGAAGGACCUGGGUGUGAUUUGAAGGGUCUCAGGAGGAGGGGCAGGCACUCACAUGCCCCUAACCAUGUCUCCUACUAGCCUGUAGCUUCUUUGGGGACAUUGGUCUAGUUUUGAGGCAUGAUUUUGGGUACCCAUUGAAAUGCAAAUGCUGCCUCUGCACUCCUGAUGACUGUGUGCUGUAAGUUGCAGAGCAGCAGGCACAGAAAAGGGCCACCCAGCACAGACCAAGAGCCUGAAGGAAUGGGAUCUGGGACCAGGGAAUGAUGGGGAUGGGGACAGGUCCAGGGAGGAAAAAAACAAAUAAACAUGGGGGUUAGGGUUAGAAGCCUUCUUUGCUGUCUGCGCUUCAUCUCUGGUGAGCUUGAAGGACUCUGGAGCUGCCCCCGGGUCCUGGCUUGCAGGAUAGAGGUGCUCAGCCAUCUCUGAACCAUAGGGCCUGUGGACCUGACUCUGUGGCCUGGGAUAUCUGGGAACCUCCGUGAGGUAGAUGGGGGCUGGAGUGAGAUUUUAUUCUACCUUGAAUAUGAGAAUAGGAAGGCUACUUCUGGGAGUUUUGCUCCUGUCUGCAUUCAGAUCACCUCAGCUUUCUUUGCUUUGAAGAAUGAACAGAAGCCAGGGGCUCCAUUUGAUAAGGGCUCUGCGGGGGAAUUGUGGGAUGUGGUUGUGAGCUGCAGGGAGCCCUUCUCCUGCCCAGAUGAUGGAUGUGACAACCCUCUGCAAGAGAGGCAGCCAGAUGCCAGUUGCUUUUCUGGUGUUAGCUCUCACUGGUGGGGUUCAGCUAGAAAGCCCUGGCAGGUAUCAUAUGCAAACCAAAUGAGGGCCAGAGGCACCUGGCCUGAACCCAGGGUCCUCAAUGCCAGACACCUGGGAGUUCCCCUGCAAAGGGUAAGGCAGUGGAGGGGAGGGGCUGAGCUGGAAGCUGAAAGAGAUGGGGCAGAGGAUGGACUCUUCAGCCCCAGAGGAACUGGUCUUAAGCCUGUUGCACUAGUCAGAGUGACCAAGAGGGA
This 4820-nucleotide long non-coding RNA is filed under the name Homo sapiens (human). Its description in RNAcentral is "non-protein coding lnc-IER5-6:2". The record is from RNAcentral. Lineage: Eukaryota; Metazoa; Chordata; Mammalia; Primates; Hominidae.